CAAUUGGAGAAACUGGUUAUUUUGCCAAGGCUUUGAUGGGAAUGGCGUGGUUCCCUUUAAGGAAGCAAAUUUGACUUAUAGAGCCAAUAAAAGCCCCUUGGGAAAACUGGCCUCAUACCUUGUCUACACAGUACUUGUACAGGGCUCCUGACCUAUGAUGGACCCUUGAAGGAAGAAAACAUCGAAGGAGGAAAGAGAAGGCUUUGACAUAAAUUGAGAGGAACAAGGAGAAAGAGGUUCGUUGCUCUGGAAACCAAGGAAGAAUCAAAGAGGAGAAUGGAAGAUGUCACAUAUCUAAGAAUUCUUUAUUGGAUUGGGCAAUUGAGGAUUCACAGAUGAUCAGAGGAGCCAGAGACAAAUCAGAGUGAAUCUGCUUUAUUACCCAGAGGAUACAAUGAAGGAAGCUUGGGGUCAUCCUAAAUUCCUGAAUUUUCUCUAUUUUGCAAGAUCCAGCCAAUAAUCAAGUCUAGUCACUUUUUCCUCCUCGUAAGUAUCUUCUGUACCUUCG
Molecule: long non-coding RNA, 508 nt
Organism: Homo sapiens (human)
Lineage: Eukaryota; Metazoa; Chordata; Mammalia; Primates; Hominidae
Exons: 3
Source: RefSeq, a predicted model, not a curated record